AAUAGAUACCCUGGUAGUCCACGCCGUAAACGAUGAGUGCUAAGUGUUAGAGGGUUUCCGCCCUUUAGUGCUGCAGCUAACGCAUUAAGCACUCCGCCUGGGGAGUACGGCCGCAAGGCUGAAACUCAAAGGAAUUGACGGGGGCCCGCACAAGCGGUGGAGCAUGUGGUUUAAUUCGAAGCAACGCGAAGAACCUUACCAGGUCUUGACAUCCCCUGCCAACCCUAGAGAUAGGGCGUUCCCCUUCGGGGGACAGAGUGACAGGUGGUGCAUGGUUGUCGUCAGCUCGUGUCGUGAGAUGUUGGGUUAAGUCCCGCAACGAGCGCAACCCUUGAUCUUAGUUGCCAGCAUUCAGUUGGGCACUCUAAGGUGACUGCCGGUGACAAACCGGAGGAAGGUGGGGAUGACGUCAAAUCAUCAUGCCCCUUAUGACCUGGGCUACACACGUGCUACAAUGGAUGGUACAAAGGGUCGCGAAACCGCGAGGUGGAGCCAAUCCCAAAAAACCAUUCUCAGUUCGGAUUGCAGGCUGCAACUCG
Molecule: ribosomal RNA, 539 nt
Filed under: uncultured bacterium
Lineage: Bacteria
Description: bacterial SSU rRNA
Rfam family: Bacterial small subunit ribosomal RNA
Source: RNAcentral